RNAcentral lists this transfer RNA (81 nucleotides) under Ralstonia solanacearum. Its description in RNAcentral is "tRNA-Arg". The record is from RNAcentral. Lineage: Bacteria; Pseudomonadati; Pseudomonadota; Betaproteobacteria; Burkholderiales; Burkholderiaceae. RNAcentral also lists the same sequence under 1 other name.
GUCGGCGCGCUCCGGGUCGCUCAGCGCCUGCCGCUCCGGAUCGCAGCGCAGGAUCGACGCUUCGAUCGCGUCCGCCGACAC